AGUGAACGCUGGCGGUAGGCCUAACACAUGCACGUCGAACGGCAGCACAGUAAGAGCUUGCUCUUACGGGUGGCGAGUGGCGGACGGGUGAGGAAUACAUCGGAAUCUACUUUUUCGUGGGGGAUAACGUAGGGAAACUUACGCUAAUACCGCAUACGACCUACGGGUGAAAGCAGGGGAUCUUCGGACCUUGCGCGAUUGAAUGAGCCGAUGUCGGAUUAGCUAGUUGGCGGGGUAAAGGCCCACCAAGGCGACGACCCGUAGCUGGUCUGAGAGGAUGAUCAGCCACACUGGAACUGAGACACGGUCCAGACUCCUACGGGAGGCAGCAGUGGGGAAUAUUGGACAAUGGGCGCAAGCCUGAUCCAGCCAUACCGCGUGGGUGAAGAAGGCCUUCGGGUUGUAAAGCCCUUUUGUUGGGAAAGAAAAGCAGCAGGUUAAUACCCCGCUGUUCUGACGGUACCCAAAGAAAAAGCACCGGCUAACUUCGUG
Molecule: ribosomal RNA, 492 nt
Filed under: uncultured bacterium
Lineage: Bacteria
Description: partial 16S ribosomal RNA
Rfam family: Bacterial small subunit ribosomal RNA
Source: RNAcentral